AAAGGAAUUGACGGGGGCCCGCACAAGCGGUGGAGCAUGCGGGUUAAUCGGAUGAUACGCCGAGAACCUUACCAGGGCUUGAAAUGGCUGCGAAAGCCAGUGAAAGCCGGUCCCCUGAGCAAUCAGGCGCAGUCACAGGUGGUGCAUGGUUGUCGUCAGCUCGUGCCGUGAGGUGUUGGGUUAAGUCCCGCAACGAGCGCAACCCUCGCCGGAUGUUGCCAGCGGUCCCAGCAAUGGGAGCCGGGAACUCUUCCGGGACUGCCCGAGUAAUCGGGAGGAAGGAGAGGAUGACGUCAAAUCGGCAUGCCCCUUACGCCCUGGGCUGCACGCGUGCUACAAUGGCGGGUACAAAGGGCAGCUAAGCCGCGAGGUGGAGCUAAUCCCCCAAAACCCGUCCCAGUUCGGAUCGGAUGUCUGCAACUCGACUCCGUGAAGUCGGAAUCGCUAGUAACCGUGGAUCAGCAACGCCACGGUGAAUACGUUCCCGGGCCUUGUACACACCGCCCGU
Molecule: ribosomal RNA, 508 nt
Filed under: uncultured bacterium
Lineage: Bacteria
Description: bacterial SSU rRNA
Rfam family: Bacterial small subunit ribosomal RNA
Source: RNAcentral